UACGUAGGGUGCGAGCGUUGUCCGGAAUUAUUGGGCGUAAAGAGCUCGUAGGCGGUGUGUCACGUCGGCCGUGAAAACCUGGGGCUUAACUCUGGGCGUGCGGUCGAUACGGGCAUCACUAGAGUUCGGCAGGGGAGACUGGAAUUCCUGGUGUAGCGGUGAAAUGCGCAGAUAUCGGGAGGAACACCCGUAGCGAAGGCGGCACUCUGGGCCGGAACUGACGCUGAGGAGCGAAAGCGUGGGGAGCAAACAGG
This 254-nucleotide ribosomal RNA is filed under the name uncultured bacterium. RNAcentral describes it as "partial 16S ribosomal RNA". It matches the Rfam family "Bacterial small subunit ribosomal RNA", at positions 524 to 776 of the family's 1533-position model. The record is from RNAcentral.